Leptonychotes weddellii (Weddell seal) is the source of this 373-nucleotide non-coding RNA. The record is from RefSeq and is a predicted model, not a curated record. NCBI's taxonomy places the organism in Eukaryota, Metazoa, Chordata, Mammalia, Carnivora, Phocidae.
UUUACCGGGCCGGGCUGGCAGGGGUUUGGCUCCGGCAGCGGCGCUGCGAUGUGGUUCGAGAUCCUGCCCGGGAUCGGCGUCAUGGCCGUGUGCUUGGUCAUCCCCGGCAUAGCGACGGCGCACAUCCACAGGUUCAGUAACGGCGGCAAGGAAAAAAGGGUUGCCUAUUAUCCGUAUCAGUGGAGUUUGAUGCAAAGAGAUAGGCGGGUCUCUGGAGUUAAUCGUUACUAUGUGUCAAAGGGUUUGGAGAAUAUCGAUUAAGGAAGCAUUUUCCUGAUUGAUGAAAAAUAACUCAGUCAUACUCAUCUACCCCUUCUAGAAGGUUAUGCAGUGUAUUAAUGUAGUGCAUAAUAAAAACAACAAAAAAGUAAAA